RNAcentral lists this ribosomal RNA (497 nucleotides) under uncultured bacterium. RNAcentral describes it as "partial 16S ribosomal RNA". It matches the Rfam family "Bacterial small subunit ribosomal RNA", at positions 28 to 507 of the family's 1533-position model. The record is from RNAcentral.
GAUGAACGCUGGCGGCGUGCCUAAUACAUGCAAGUCGAGCGAACGGACGAGAAGCUUUCUCUUCUGAUGUUAGCGGCGGACGGGUGAGUAACACGUGGAUAACCUACCUAUAAGACUGGGAUAACUUCGUGAAACCGGAGCUACUACCGGAUAAUAUUUUGAACCGCAUGGUUCAAAAGUGAAAGACGGUUUUGCUGUCACUUUUAGAUGGAUCCGCGCUGCAUUAGCUAGUUGGUAAGGUAACGGCUUACCAAGGCAACGAUGCUUAGCCGACCUGAGAGGGUGAUCGGCCACACUGGAACUGAGACACGGUCCAGACUCCUACGGGAGGCAGCAGUAGGGAAUAUUCAGCAAUGGGCGAAAGCCUGACGGAGCAACGCCGCGUGAGUGAUGAAGGUCUUCGGAUCGUAAAACUCUGUUAUUAGGGAAGAAAAGAUGUGGAAGUAACUGUGCACGUCUUGACGGUACCUAAUCAGAAAGCAACGGCUAACUACGUG